This 459-nucleotide ribosomal RNA is filed under the name uncultured bacterium. RNAcentral's name for it is "partial 16S ribosomal RNA". It matches the Rfam family "Bacterial small subunit ribosomal RNA", at positions 338 to 795 of the family's 1533-position model. The record is from RNAcentral.
CCUACGGGUGGCAGCAGUGAGGAAUAUUGGUCAAUGGUCGGGAGACUGAACCAGCCAAGCCGCGUGAGGGAUGAAGGUACAGAGUAUCGUAAACCUCUUUUGUCAGGGAACAAAGGCGGGGACGUGUCCCCGGAUGAGUGUACCCGAAGAAAAAGCAUCGGCUAACCCCGUGCCAGCAGCCGCGGUAAUACGGAGGAUGCGAGCGUUAUCCGGAUUUAUUGGGUUUAAAGGGUGCGCAGGCGGUCUGUUAAGUCCGCGGGAAAAGCCCGGGGCUCAACCCCGGCCCGCCGUUGAAACUGGCAGUCUCGAGUUGGAGAGAAGUAUGCGGAAUGCGCGGUGUAGCGGUGAAAUGCAUAGAUAUCACGCAGAACUCCGAUUGCGAAGGCAGCAUGCCGGCUCCACACUGACGCUGAGGCACGAAAGCGUGGGUAUCGAACAGGAUUAGAUACCCCAGUAGUC